AUUGAACGCUGGCGGUAGGCUCAACACAUGCAAGUCGAGCGGGGGAAGGUAGCUUGCUACCGGACCUAGCGGCGGACGGGUGAGUAAUGCUUAGGAAUCUGCCUAUUAGUGGGGGACAACAUCUCGAAAGGGAUGCUAAUACCGCAUACGUCCUACGGGAGAAAGCAGGGGAUCUUCGGACCUUGCGCUAAUAGAUGAGCCUAAGUCGGAUUAGCUAGUUGGGGGGGUAAAGGCCUACCAAGGCGACGAUCUGUAGCGGGUGCUGAGAGGAUGAUCCGCCACACUGGGACUGAGACACGGCCCAGACUCCUACGGGAGGCAGCAGUGGGGAAUAUUGGACAAUGGGGGGAACCCUGAUCCAGCCAUGCCGCGUGUGUGAAGAAGGCCUUAUGGUUGUAAAGCACUUUAAGCGAGGAGGAGGCUACUUUAGUUAAUACCUAGAGAUAGUGGACGUUACUCGCAGAAUAAGCACCGGCUAACUCUGUGCCAGCCGCCGCCGUAA
RNAcentral lists this ribosomal RNA (502 nucleotides) under uncultured bacterium. RNAcentral's name for it is "partial 16S ribosomal RNA". It matches the Rfam family "Bacterial small subunit ribosomal RNA", at positions 30 to 523 of the family's 1533-position model. The record is from RNAcentral.